RNAcentral lists this ribosomal RNA (194 nucleotides) under uncultured bacterium. RNAcentral describes it as "partial 16S ribosomal RNA". It matches the Rfam family "Bacterial small subunit ribosomal RNA", at positions 1307 to 1500 of the family's 1533-position model. The record is from RNAcentral.
GCAACUCGCCUGCACGAAGUUGGAAUUGCUAGUAAUGGCAGGUCAGCAUACUGCCGUGAAUACGUUCCCGGGUCUUGUACACACCGCCCGUCACACCAUGGGAGCCGGUAAUACCCGAAGUCAGUAGUCUAACCGCAAGGAGGACGCUGCCGAAGGUAGGAUUGGCGACUGGGGUGAAGUCGUAACAAGGUACC